RNAcentral lists this ribosomal RNA (129 nucleotides) under uncultured bacterium. RNAcentral's name for it is "partial 16S ribosomal RNA". It matches the Rfam family "Bacterial small subunit ribosomal RNA", at positions 355 to 479 of the family's 1533-position model. The record is from RNAcentral.
UGGGGAAUUUUGGACAAUGGGCGCAAGCCUGAUCCAGCCAUGCCGCGUGAGUGAAGAAGGCCUGGUUGUAAGCUCUUUCGGCCGGGAAGGAAAUCGUGGUCUCUAACAUAGGCCAUGGAUGACGGUACC